This 253-nucleotide ribosomal RNA is filed under the name uncultured bacterium. RNAcentral describes it as "partial 16S ribosomal RNA". It matches the Rfam family "Bacterial small subunit ribosomal RNA", at positions 524 to 776 of the family's 1533-position model. The record is from RNAcentral.
UACGAAGGGGGCUAGCGUUGUUCGGAAUUACUGGGCGUAAAGCGCACGUAGGCGGACUGUCAAGUCAGGGGUGAAAUCCCGGGGCUCAACCUCGGAACUGCCUUUGAUACUGUUAGUCUAGAGUCCGGAAGAGGUGGGUGGAAUUCCUAGUGUAGAGGUGAAAUUCGUAGAUAUUAGGAAGAACACCGGUGGCGAAGGCGGCCCACUGGACCGGAACUGACGCUGAGGUGCGAAAGCGUGGGGAGCAAACAGG